Molecule: ribosomal RNA, 253 nt
Filed under: uncultured bacterium
Lineage: Bacteria
Description: partial 16S ribosomal RNA
Rfam family: Bacterial small subunit ribosomal RNA
Source: RNAcentral
UACGAAGGGGGCUAGCGUUGCUCGGAAUCACUGGGCGUAAAGCGCACGUAGGCGGAUUGCUAAGUCAGGGGUGAAAUCCUGGAGCUCAACUCCAGAACUGCCCUUGAUACUGGCGGUCUCGAGUCCGGGAGAGGUGAGUGGAACUGCGAGUGUAGAGGUGAAAUUCGUAGAUAUUCGCAAGAACACCAGUGGCGAAGGCGGCUCACUGGCCCGGUACUGACGCCGAGGUGCGAAAGCGUGGGGAGCAAACAGG